ACCCAGGAGACAGAAGUGGUGGGGACAAAGGGUCUCUGAGAGGACCCUGCUCAUGUUAAGGCUCAAAGUGGAGAUGUCUAGUAUGUUAUCAAUUACGUGAUGCUUAAAUAGUUUCAGUGGGUGGCACUGAAAAAUGCUAUGAAGCAGCAAGAUUUCAUGAGAAUUCUUGGUUGAAAAGAGUGACUCAGUCCCUCAGCAAACAUCACAUUAGAGGUGUCAUCUUCAAACUUAAAAUUAUUGCUCCUCAUAAUAACCAGACAGCUGCAAUUAAACUGAGAAAAGAAAAAAAACCAAAACCUAAUGCUCUGUAAUUGUAGUUACUGGCACAUGGACUAACUGGAACCAAAUAGAUCAGAAUCCUAAAAAACUUUUUGAAGGAACUGUAAUGACAAAGAUGACAAAGAAACCACAGCUCUACUUUAAAAAAAAAAAAAAAGGCUAGAGACUUGUCUGGCAGCCUUAGAACCACCUACCUGCAGGCAGAAAGCGGGUGGAGAAAAGAGUGCAUCCUCAAAGAUGGGCAUCCCCUCCCCCGAAACCCACAUCAGUUGAAGCCAAUGGUGAAGAGACACAAGACCACUGGAACCAGGAGCUCCACGGAACAAUAUAUUUAUAAAGCAGUUCCUCCUUAAGGUCAGAAUAAUGGCCUAAUUAAGGAAAAUGCCCAACUUGAAGGUAGGGGGUCUUCAUAAGGGCAUUCAGUGGCUCUCCAAGCUGCACUACUGAUUGCUACAGUUUCCUCAUUCUUUUCCUUUCUGAACAGGAGUAGUCUUACAGAUUCACCAUCAUACUGGGGUGAGGUAAGGAGGUAACGUCUUUCAAUUCACGGAUUAGUAGACAAUGAGGAGCUACACUGAAGCCUGACAAAAAGACUUGUGCUUCACCUGGAAAUCCUGGCCUUUCAGCCAUGUGUUGAUGACAGAAAGCCGCCUGGGUCCCUAGUGACUUUGUGGAGCAGAGUCCCACCCCCAACUCCACUGAGACACACAGAAUUAGGAUGGACACCAUGGCCAGACACACAUGGACAGCUGCAGGAACAAAGAAUUCCUGCAGCAAGAAGUUUGCACCUACCAACCACAACGCCACCUCUGGUUGUGUAUGUGUGUGUGUGUGUGUAAAAGGAGACUGUACUCUGACUGGAGCAGGAUGGUUCAAGACAUUAGUUGGCCAUCCUCUCGGUCUGCCAGCUUUCUGAAUAAAGUCGCUAU
Non-coding RNA from Vicugna pacos (alpaca), 1208 nucleotides. Lineage: Eukaryota; Metazoa; Chordata; Mammalia; Artiodactyla; Camelidae. The record is from RefSeq and is a predicted model, not a curated record.